GGGCGUUUGGCGCAGUUGGCUAGCGCGCCAGCAUGACACGCUGGAGGUCACAGGUUCGAGCCCUGUAACGCCCA
Molecule: transfer RNA, 74 nt
Filed under: Planctomycetota bacterium
Lineage: Bacteria; Pseudomonadati; Planctomycetota
Also listed under: 2 other names
Description: tRNA-Val
Rfam family: tRNA
About the family: Transfer RNA (tRNA) molecules are approximately 80 nucleotides in length. Their secondary structure includes four short double-helical elements and three loops (D, anti-codon, and T loops).
Source: RNAcentral